Molecule: ribosomal RNA, 253 nt
Filed under: uncultured bacterium
Lineage: Bacteria
Description: partial 16S ribosomal RNA
Rfam family: Bacterial small subunit ribosomal RNA
Source: RNAcentral
UACGUAGGUGGCAAGCGUUAUCCGGAAUUAUUGGGCGUAAAGCGCGCGCAGGCGGUUUCUUAAGUCUGAUGUGAAAGCCCACGGCUCAACCGUGGAGGGUCAUUGGAAACUGGGGAACUUGAGUGCAGAAGAGAAAAGCGGAAUUCCACGCGUAGCGGUGAAAUGCGUAGAGAUGUGGAGGAACACCAGUGGCGAAGGCGGCUUUUUGGUCUGUAACUGACGCUGAGGCGCGAAAGCGUGGGGAGCAAACAGG